This is a long non-coding RNA of Sycon ciliatum, 1424 nucleotides long. RefSeq lists it as uncharacterized. The transcript has 4 exons. The record is from RefSeq and is a predicted model, not a curated record. NCBI's taxonomy places the organism in Eukaryota, Metazoa, Porifera, Calcarea, Leucosolenida, Sycettidae.
UCUACUCUUGUUUUUGGCUGUAGAUACACAAGCAGCUUCUAUAGUGUGUGACUCACACAUGUAUACAUACCAUAGCAUCUCAUUCUCAGCAGAUCAUGCAAACCAGACGUGCUAUCAACAAUAUGGUGGUCGGCCAUUGUCUACAGACGGGCAGCAACUCAGCUGUGCCUCACAACUGCUGAACACAUCGCAAGUCUUGCAUGACAACAACAUCAGCUACAUACCGGUAUAUACCAACGUCACUAAUGGGUCUCAUUGCACUACCUACCAACCAUCAACCAACACAGUAGGUCAAGACUCCUGCACCAUGGCACGACCAACAAUCUGCGUGUCUCUCUACUGCAACGACAGCAACAACUUGGUAGCAGCACGUAAUGAAGACCGGUGUAUGUGUAGACCUGGUUAUAUCAGGACAUCCGCACACAGAUGUGAAUCCAUUUUCGACAUGCUCAAUAUAAAGGUACCGACUACCACGGUACCUUUGAUGCCAGACAUGCCAGCUUCCGUAACCUCUUCAUCCGCAGUCACCAUAGAUCGUAGUAGUUGCAUCACAGAUACAAGUACAUCCAUCAACUCCACGCCAUCGGCCCGCAGUGAGAAUGGUACUGAUUCUACAAUAACUACAUGUAUGUCCCGGGUGAACAAGGCGAUCAUUUAUUCCACUCUCGUAACAGCAUUGUUAAUGACGGAGAUCUUUGCAGCCAUCACACUGAUAUACAUAACAUACCAGGCAAGAAACUAGGUCUUAGUUACAAUCGCAAUUCCUGCACUUUUGUUCUCUUUUUCUUUAUAUCCCUUUUUUCCCAGUAUCUCAUAAUAGUCACAAAUGUAAGAGUACUCCGUAAAUCUUUUGUUGUUUCAGUUGGUCUCAUUGUGUUUGUCAUAUUAUGGUAUAAAGUGAUAAGAUAAGUUGCUAAAAUAUCGCAUGUACUUCAUCAAUGGUAGUUCACGUCUCUUCAAAUUGAUAUGCAGUUCACUGUACCUAUUGAUACAUUGAUUGGUACAUUGAUACGUUCAUGCGUUCAUAGGAUAAUCAUUUAUUUUAUUUUAUAAAGUUUUGAUGUAAAGUGUAUUCCAGUUUGGGUUUGAAAAACUAUAUUUUACACAUGCAUUUUCCUGAUUUCUUCUCCAGUGUAUGUUGCACUGCAUUUUAAUCCAUUGAUGCUUGUAUCACAUAAUGUUGUUUAAAAGUACAUUGCAUCUGCGACGUGGGCAGUAGGUAUACGCCUCAACCCUCAAUGCUCACUUUAGCUACACGAUGGUGCAAGACUGCAGGUUGUCCAUUUUGAAAUUUAUCCGUUUUGCAUGUUGUUUUUGAUACAUGCAUGCUCUUUUGUACUUGUUUGUAAUUGUCCAUACUAUGCAUGCGUGGAGUCAAGACCAGCAAACCAUUGAUUCAUGCUGCGAAUUCAAAUAAAUCAAUA